CUUUUAUAGGUAAUAUCUCUCUAUUUAUAAAAGAUAGAGACUGUGUGCAUAAAUCCUUCAUGAUGAAAGUUUCAUGCUUUGAACACUGUUUAAUAUGCAACAUUAGACAACCUUUGCAUGAUUUAUGCCAUCUGCUGCAUUUUUGUCAAAGUAUUCAACAAUCCAACAUGACUUUGAUCUCAAGCUGGACUUUUAUGUUUCAACUUGGAAUGUUCAGAGCCUGCCAACAUUUGAUGGGUUUUCUCUGUGCACAACAUAAUGCAUUUUAGCUAUUCAUUGUUCAAUUUAAAGCUUGGGAUCAAUUUUAAAUUCCAAAUUCACUUGAAAUUAAAAUGACUUUUGGGUUGGGAAAAGGUUUGGUCAAAUUAAAGGUAGAACUCAUCAGGGCAUUUGAAUUAGAAGAAGAU
This 407-nucleotide long non-coding RNA is filed under the name Musa acuminata (dwarf banana). RNAcentral describes it as "long non-coding RNA (MACU_LNC006788)". Lineage: Eukaryota; Viridiplantae; Streptophyta; Magnoliopsida; Zingiberales; Musaceae. The record is from RNAcentral.